AGUCAUAUGCUUGUCUCAAAGAUUAAGCCAUGCACGUCUCAGUGCAAGCCAAAUUAAGGUGAAACCGCGUAAGGCUCAUUAAACCAGUCGUUGUUCAUUGGAUGGUACCCAGUUACAUGGAUAACUGUGGAAAUGCUAGAGCUAAUACAUGCAAAUAGAGUCCCCACCAUUAAUUUGGGAGGGAUGCUUUUAUUAGAUCAAAACCAAUCGGAUCGCAAGGUCUGUUGUUUUUGGUGACUCUGAAUAACUUUGUGCUGAUCGCAUGGUCUUGUACCGGCGACGCAUCCUUCAAAUGUCUGACUUAUCAACUUUCGAUGGUAGGUUCUGCGCCUACCACGGUUAUAACGGGUAACGGGGAAUCAGGGUUCGAUUCCGGAGAGGGAGCCUGAGAAACGGCUACCACAUCCAAGGAAGGCAGCAGGCGCGCAAAUUACCCACUCCCAGCACGGGGAGGUAGUGACGAAAAAUAACGAUGCAGAACUCAUUCCGAGGCUCUGCAAUCGGAAUGAGAACACUCUAAAUCAUUUAACGAGUAUCCAUUGGAGGACAAGUCUGGUGCCAGCACCCGCGGUAAUUCCAGCUCCAAUAGCGUAUAUUAAAGUUGUUGCGGUUAAAAAGCUCGUAGUUGGAUCUGUGUUUCACGCUGACGGUUCACCGUUUUGUCGGUGUUUAACUGUCAUGUCGUGGUACGUCCUGCCGGUUGGCAUGUUUGUUGACGUAAGUUGAUGGCUGCCAGUUCCAAUCCUGUCGCGGUGCUCUUUACCGAGUGUCGAGGCGGGCCGGCACGUUUACCUUGAACAAAUUUGAGUGCUUAAAGCAGGCUAUAAUUGCCGGAAAACUGUGUGCAUGGAAUAAUAUAAUAGGACCGCGGUUCUAUUUUGUUGGUUUUCAGAGUCUGAGGUAAUGAUUAAUAGGGCCCGGCGGGGGCAUUAGUAUUGCGACGUUAGAGGUGAAAUUCUUGGAUCGUCGCAAGACUGACCUAAGCGAAAGCAUUUGCCAAGGAUGCUUCCAUUAAUCAAGAACGAAAGUUAGAGGUUCGAAGGCGAUCAGAUACCGCCCUAGUUCUAACCAUAAACGAUGCCAGCCAACGAUCCGUCGCAGUUCCUCCGAUGACUCGACGGGCAGCUUCCGGGAAACUAAAGCAUUUGGGUUCCGGGGGAAGUAUGGUUGCAAAGCUGAAACUUAAAGGAAUUGACGGAAAGGCACCACCAGGAGUGGAGCCUGCGGCUUAAUUUGACUCAACACGGGAAAUCUCACCAGGCCAGAACACUAGAUGGAUUGACAGAUUGAGAGCUCUUUCUUGAUUUAGUGGGUGGUGGUGCAUGGCCGUUCUUAGUUGGUGGAGCGAUUUGUCUGGUUAAUUCCGAUAACGAACGAGACUCCAGCCUACUAAAUAGACGGAUAUUUAUUCCGGUAUCUCUGCUACCGGCGGAUUUAUUUCUUCUUAGAGGGACAGGCGGCUUUUAGCCGCACGAGACGGAGCAAUAACAGGUCUGUAAUGCCCUUAGAUGUUCUGGGCAGCACGCGCGCAACACUGAAGGAAUCAACGUGUGAUAUAACCUAGGCCGAAAGGUCCGGGUAACCCGUUGAACCUCCUUCGUGCUAGGGAUUGGGGCUUGAAAUUAUUCCCCAUGAACGAGGAAUUCCUAGUAAGUGCGAGUCAUAAGCUCGUGUUGAUUAAGUCCCUGCCUUUUGUGCACACCGCCCGUCGCUACUACCGAUUGAACGAUUUAGUGAGGUCUUCGGACCUGUUCGCGAGACUCACUAUUAUGGUGAAUCUCGAUGUUUUCGGGGAAGACGACCAAACUUGAUCGUUUAGAGGAAGUAAAAGUCGUAACAAGGUUUUCGUA
RNAcentral lists this ribosomal RNA (1850 nucleotides) under Psocoptera sp. PS02. RNAcentral describes it as "SSU rRNA". It matches the Rfam family "Eukaryotic small subunit ribosomal RNA". The record is from RNAcentral. Lineage: Eukaryota; Metazoa; Arthropoda; Insecta; Psocodea.